GCUACUGUUUAACACAUCAGGGUCCAGCAAUAAAAACCCCGACUAUAUCGGGGUUUUUUAUUAUCUAAAUUUUUGUAACAAGAAUUUAGAUCUUGCUUGGAAUUUAAAUUGGGCUCUAUGCCCUUUUUUU
Molecule: non-coding RNA, 130 nt
Organism: Vibrio ponticus
Lineage: Bacteria; Pseudomonadati; Pseudomonadota; Gammaproteobacteria; Vibrionales; Vibrionaceae
Source: Rfam